Molecule: long non-coding RNA, 3847 nt
Organism: Cyprinus carpio carpio
Lineage: Eukaryota; Metazoa; Chordata; Actinopteri; Cypriniformes; Cyprinidae
Source: Ensembl
AACAUAACGAAAGGGUAGUGAAUUUGCCCACAGUGUAUUGUUAAGUUUUUGAAAAUUUUCAAAGCAUUUUCCCAAAAUAUGUGUCAAAAUAAAAUUUGUCACCAAAAAUCAUUCCAUUAGCUGAAACAGAGAAAGUUGUGGCCAAAAUAAGACUCAACUUUACCCCCUAGUGGACGAAAACGUCCCCAACAACACAUAAGGGUUAAAUUGAUUAUUUGAUUAACAAUUUAAUUAGAUUUAAGUUAUUUAUUUACGACAUCUUUAUGUUUAGCCUAUGUAAAUUCUGCGUGUUUUAACGAGCGCGCGCUGAACAUUGGAGUAGCGUUCAUUCAGAUACAAACACCGGAGCGGAGGGAGUUGCCAUGGAAACGGGGCGACCGACAACACUGGCAAGCUGCAAGCUCCGUUUCUUGCUGCUGUUUUCACUGCUUUCGAUUCUUCCGUGUUUGAUGUUCUUCUGCAUCCCAGAGUCUGAGCAAGCCUCCUGUCCAACAACAUCUCCAAGACACACUGAACCAUACGACUAGCAGGUUAACCCCAGACAUACACUAAUGUUCAAAAUUCAGAGUUUUUUAUGUUUUUGAAAAUAAGUCUUUAAUUUUUUUUUAUGCUUACCAAUUUCUGAAAAAAAGCAGAUAAAAAAAGUAAAAUCAAUAAUAUUGUGAAAUAAUAUUACAAUUUAAAAUAGCAUUUUUUUUUGCGAAAUGUAAUUUAUUUCUGUGAUGCGCAGUGUUUCUUUGGCAAGAAAUCAUAUUAUAAUGAUUUCUGAAGGAUCAUAUGACACUAAAGCCUGGAGUAAUGAUGGUGAAAAUCAGCUUUGAUCAUAGCAAUCAAAUGACCCUUUGCAAAAACCCACCCUCGUUAAAUACUGUUGCUGCGUCCAACAAGCCAUGCUGCUCUCACUAUACACACCUUGUUCUCACACAGGGAAAAACACAUCGUGGACCAAAGAGGAAACUGACAACACACAGACAGACAAGACAGAGAAGGUUGCUUCUGCCUCGUGUGUGAAGACUUCAGAAGAUGCCAGACCUCACAAAGAUUUCAGAUGAUGGCAACUAUAGAUGAACAUGCAAAGCUGCUAAAUAAUUCUUAUAUUGUAAUCAUUGCCCUAAAAGGAAGGAUCUUAUCAGCAAAUCUACUUCACAGCACAUCAGUGAAAGCAGUUGACAGUUACGGAUGGGUGUGUUGGAUCAGGGUCAGAUCUGAAUUCUGAUGGUUUUCUGGGAUGACAGUUGAAGAUGAUCAGAACAUCAGAUGUUGGUCUGGACAGCUGUACCUACAGUACACCACACUGACCUCUCUGCUUUUGCAUGGAUAACUGACUUACUACCAUGUUCUGUGAAGGUAUUAUUAUAGCAAACCUGAGCACCUGUGACAGUGGAAUAGUUGUAAUGAAUAGUCACACAUGCAUAUUGGUAAAUUUAAAGUUACAGAUAAUUUUUUUUAGUACUAGCAAUAUUUUUAUUUUUAUUUUUUAUUUUUUAUUAAUUCUCUCCAGCAAACACAACACAACAGUUACACCAUUUCGAAUUCUGAGGUGCACAAAUCCUAUUCUACAAAUAAGAGAACAACAGUAUAAAAGUGCUCAGUUUAGCCUCUUUCACACUGAGAUUCCGGAUAAAACACGGGUAAUGUGUCCCGGCAAUUGUUCCCGGAUUGUUAGAUUUUGGUUCAUUCACACUGCCAGUGAUAGCGUUCACACACAACCCAUAAAGGUCCCGUAAUGACACGAGACAUCAGGAUGUGAUGUGUAAUGUAUGAGUUAAAAAUGCUAGGCCGCCAAUAAACGGAAGAAGGAGAAGAAGCAAAGCAGAAGUGUUUUCAAUGCUUUAUAAACAUGGCAGCUGAUCAGCUACUAGGGACAUUGUUGUUUAUGUAUAAAGCAUCUUCCACACAGAAAUUCCGGAAAAUACACGGAUAAUGUGUUCCAGGAUCCUUUGAUUGUGGUUCAUUUACACUGGCAGUGAUUUUCUGGAAUCUGUGUGUCACACACAACCCAUAAAGAUCCCGUAAAGACACAUGACAUUACGAUGCGACGUGUUUUGUUUCACUUAAGCUGGCGAACGAUCUCAGCUUUAGCACGGAUAGUGAGGAACUAACUGAUCUCUGCUUCAUUACAGUUUGCACAUAUUUUUUCGUCACGAAUGUUGAUCUGCCGUCAAAACACCCGGUAAAAGAGUCGCAUGAUAACGUGCGUCAUCACUACGACACACCCUUUACGCCAUUGGUUCUGGCUUUUGUUCACACAGAGCUCGUUCCGGGACUGAACCCAGCAAUGUUCCUAGGUCCCCAAACCAGGAUCAGUCCCGGAAUCAAUCCCGGGACGUGUUUGCGUUCACACAGAAGGCACUUUGGCAAUUUUCCAGCAAUUUUUUGGGACCACCGUGCAGUGUGAAAGGGGCUUUAGUCUAGCACAGUACACAUUUAGUUACAAGUUAUUUAUUUAUAUUAUUUUAUUUUUUUUAUUUUUUUUACAAAUAAGAGCAAACUGAAUAAAAUAGGAUUGAACUGAAUAGAAAAGGUAAGUGCUAGUAUUAAUUGAUCAGGUGCUGAUGGAAAAAGAGGUGUCUUUAAUGUUUUUGGAAAAUGGCUGAAGACUCAGAUGCUCGAACUGAGAAAGGCAAGUCAUUCUACCAUGAUCUUAUCUACAAAUACUACUAUUCUCAUAAAGUCUGUAAAUAUGUCCAGUUCUAAUAAACACACAUUUCAGGAAAAAAUAAUUCAAUAAUAUGACCAAAAUGAAAUACAGUCCUGCAUAAAUCUGGUAUAACUGAGCCUGUGAAUUUCUUAAUUUGUGAUUUGUAGAAUAGGAUUUAUGCACCUGCAAUGAAGAUUUUUGAGAAGGUUUUGUUGUGUUUGUUAGAGAGAAAGAAACAAAAUACAAGCUUGCAACUCCAAAAACAUUUUCUUGAUGACUUUAUUGAAAUAUUCUCUACAAAUACAAAUUCCACUGUCACAGGUGCUCAAUUUUGUUACAAUAAUAUACAAAGUGUCUCGAAUGUACUAUAGAUGUACUGUAUGCAAAUAUAACAAAAGGACAUUAACAACUGAAUAUUCAGGGGAUGCAAACUUAUCACCUUUAAGUAAAAAUAGUCAUUUUGAAUCCAAAAAUCAUUUGCAUGAUUUGUGUAGAUCCAAAGAGUUUUUAAAAGUGCAUUAGUUAAAUAGCACAUGCUAAAUAGCACAAGGCAUAUUUUACAUGUUAUUUACAUAAUAAAAAGAUAAGGAAUACAUAUUUUACAUCAAAUGUUGCCAUUUUAUAUUAAAAUAUACAAAAGAUAAUACCCCCAAACUUGAGAGAAAUGUAAUAAUGGAGUGAUGGUAAAUGUAUAAAAAAGCAACUAAAAAUUAACUUUAUUGUCUUAGUUAUUUGUCUGUCUAUUGUGGGUUACAUUGUCACCUUUUUCAAACCUGACCUGAAUAGUUCACAUCCCUGAUAUUACAAAGAACUCAAGUUUUAAUUGCAAAUGAAAAUGUGCCUCUCUCUUUUAUACAAGGGUAAGAAUUUUUUUUUUUUUUUUUUUUUUUUUUUAGAAAAGUAAUGAUAGUGAACCAUGACUGAAGCUGUCAGUCUCUUAAAGUUCUGUUUUGCAUCUACUUUUGUGCCCCACUGAAAAUAAAAGUCAAACACAUUUGGUAAUAACAUUUUUAUUCAGUAAAUAUGGCUUUUAAUUUGUUACUUGACACUAUUUAUAUUAGCCUAUAAUAUACUUUAUACCUCUUUGUGUGUGUAUUUGUGUGUAAAUGCAUUUUCUUUGAUAGAUCUUAGAGGGUUUGUGCUCUAAACGUGUAUUUGUAACUGUGUAUAAACUGUAUUGUAUAAAUAAUAAAGAAAUUAUGACAA